ACACUCUUCUUCUUCUUCUUGUAA
RNAcentral lists this small RNA (24 nucleotides) under Arabidopsis thaliana (thale cress). Its description in RNAcentral is "ATSL050150". The record is from RNAcentral. Lineage: Eukaryota; Viridiplantae; Streptophyta; Magnoliopsida; Brassicales; Brassicaceae.